GAUGAACGCUGGCGGCGUGCCUAAUACAUGCAAGUCGAGCGAACGGACGAGAAGCUUGCUUCUCUGAUGUUAGCGGCGGACGGGUGAGUAACACGUGGAUAACCUACCUAUAAGACUGGGAUAACUUCGGGAAACCGUAGCUAAUACCGGAUAAUAUUUUGAACCGCAUGGUUCAAAAGUGAAAGACGGUCUUGCUGUCACUUAUAGAUGGAUCCGCGCUGCAUUAGCUAGUUGGUAAGGUAACGGCUUACCAAGGCAACGAUGCAUAGCCGACCUGAGAGGGUGAUCGGCCACACUGGAUCUGAGACACGGUCCAGACUCCUACGGGAGGCAGCAGUAGGGAAUCUUCCGCAAAGGGCGAAAGCCUGACGGAGCAACGCCGCGUGAGUGAUGAAGGUCUUCGGAUCGUAAAACUCUGUUAUUAGGGAAGAACAUAUGUGUAAGUAACUGUGCACAUCUUGACGGUACCUAAUCAGAAAGCCACGGCUAACUACGUG
RNAcentral lists this ribosomal RNA (497 nucleotides) under uncultured bacterium. RNAcentral describes it as "partial 16S ribosomal RNA". It matches the Rfam family "Bacterial small subunit ribosomal RNA", at positions 28 to 507 of the family's 1533-position model. The record is from RNAcentral.